UGAGUAGCUGAAGAGGUAUUUACUUCUAAAGAUAUUAGUACAUACAGAUUUUGUAAUUUCAUCUCUUUCGUAUUUGUAACUUGUAGGGCUAACUCCCACCACCAGUGAAUUACCAUGAGAAUAAAGUAACUAGGUGAAAUUUGACACGGUGUUUAUAAAGUAGUGAUUUAAAAAAUUGGAAUUCGGUAAUAUUAAAUAUACUAUUAACGAGAUUAUUUGGAUAAAAUCUGAUCUAUUGAUAUUAGCUCUCAGCGUCGAUAUGAAAAAACAAUUUUUUUUCAUUAAAUACAAUCUAACUAUAUGCAAGAUAUUUGCAUAAUUUGCAGCGAGUGAAACUAAAUGAAAUAAUAGGAAGAUCCAUAUAUUAAUCCAAGUUUAUUAAAUAACAUAAGAGCAUACCGAUCGAAAACAAGCCUUAAGGGAGAAUUAAGAUAAUUGGAAUAAAAUUUUGAACAUAUUAACAAACGAAU
Non-coding RNA from Schizosaccharomyces pombe (fission yeast), 470 nucleotides. The record is from the annotation of a GenBank genome assembly. NCBI's taxonomy places the organism in Eukaryota, Fungi, Ascomycota, Schizosaccharomycetes, Schizosaccharomycetales, Schizosaccharomycetaceae.